CAAAGGCUUGGUCCUGACUUUACUAUCAGCUCUAGCUAGACUUACACAUGCAAGUAUCCGCACCCCUGUGAGAAUGCCCCACAGUUUCCCGCCCGAAAACAAGGAGCCGGUAUCAGGCACAGUUAACCCUAGCCCACGACACCUUGCUUAGCCACACCCUCAAGGGAUUUCAGCAGUGAUAAACAUUAAGCUAUAAGUGAAAACUUGACUUAGUUACAGCUAAGAGAGCCGGUAAAACUCGUGCCAGCCACCGCGGUUAUACGAGAGGCUCAAGUUGAUAGACAGCGGCGUAAAGAGUGGUUAAGGAAACUUUUAAACUAAAGCCGAACGCCCCCAGAACUGUUAUACGUUUCCGAAGGUAUGAAGCCCCACCACGAAAGUGGCUUUAUCUCCCCUGACCCCACGAAAGCUGUGAAACAAACCGGGAUUAGAUACCCCAUUAUGCUCAGCCCUAAACCUUGAUAGACCAUUACACCCACUAUCCGCCCGGGUACUACGAGCAUUAGCUUGAAACCCAAAGGACUUGGCGGUGCUUAACAUCCACCUAGAGGAGCCUGUCCUAGAACCGAUAACCCCCGUUAAACCUCACCCUCUCUUGUUUUUUCCGCCUGUAUACCGCCGUCGUCAGCUUACCCCGUGAGGAGCCCAUAGUAAGCACAAUUGGUAAUACCCUAAACGACAGGUCGAGGUGCAGCUAAUGAGAGGGGAAGAGAUGGGCUACAUUUCCUGAACCAGGAAAUACGAACAAUGUUCUGAAACGGACAUUAGAAGGAGGAUUUAGUAGUAAGCAGGAAACAGAGCGUUCUGCUGAAACCGGCCCUAAAGCGCGCACACACCGCCCGUCACUCUCCCCAAGCUAACGACAAACAUGUACCUAAAAACUCACAUCUGCAAAGGGGAGGCAAGUCGUAACAUGGUAAGUGUACCGGAAGGUGCGCUUGGAUAAAUAC
RNAcentral lists this non-coding RNA (950 nucleotides) under Chromis notata (pearl-spot chromis). Its description in RNAcentral is "12S ribosomal RNA". It matches the Rfam family "Bacterial small subunit ribosomal RNA". The record is from RNAcentral. Lineage: Eukaryota; Metazoa; Chordata; Actinopteri; Pomacentridae.